This is a long non-coding RNA of Pogoniulus pusillus (Red-fronted tinkerbird), 413 nucleotides long. RefSeq lists it as uncharacterized. The record is from RefSeq and is a predicted model, not a curated record. NCBI's taxonomy places the organism in Eukaryota, Metazoa, Chordata, Aves, Piciformes, Lybiidae. The transcript is spliced from 4 exons.
CAGGUAUUUGCUCACCACUCUGCUCCUGAUGACUGCUUUCCAGUUCAUUGUGACUGUUGGACACCUCAUAGGCUGAGUAUAUGUUUGAAUGUUGGACUAACCUUACGAUACGAAGAAGGGACAGAAUAAGGUAACAGGAAAGCAUUCACAGACAGUUUAAUAAGCAGCGGUCAAUGAACACAAGCUCUCUUGUUUCGAAAUGGCAAAGUGCUUUUUGAGUGCGGAAGGGUUUUUGCUGCUAUUUGCGGGACUGCAGCCAACCUUACCAAUCAGUAGGCACAAGAGGUUCUUUAAACAGCCAUUAGGAAAUCCCAGGCUGCCUCAUCUUCUGACCUCUUCACAAAGCAGUUGGUACAGCUCAUGUUAGUUCUACUUGGCAUAAAUCUCCUCCAAUUGUAUUACAAAAGGCAGAA